This 1845-nucleotide long non-coding RNA is filed under the name Homo sapiens (human). RNAcentral describes it as "HSALNT0145971". Lineage: Eukaryota; Metazoa; Chordata; Mammalia; Primates; Hominidae. The record is from RNAcentral.
CAAUAAAGCAGCUGGUUUUACCACCCUGGGAAAAAGGAGGGAGCACCCACAGGCCAAGCCUUGAGGUUCCUCCAGCCAUAGCUCUUAAGACACUCAUUUUGGAUAACUUUCACAGGCUUUCUGUGGUUGGGAUCUAAAACAGCAGUUUAUUUCUUCAUUUUCAUUAACGCCAGCCCAGGAAGUUUUUUAAACAAAGGGAUUAUUCUGAGUCCUUCAGAGACAAAAGGCCACUGUUUGAUUUCAUAAACUUGGGGUUUUCUCUAAUACCUCAUUUUCCUCCUCAUGCUCCAAGAUGGCCUGCAGGAAUGCCCUCCGCUCGUGGCUUGAAGACUUUUGGUCAAACAUGCCCGCCUGGAUCACUUUCUGAUCCACGUUCAGCUUGUAUUUUGCGGCCGCGAGGAUCUUUUCCUCCACGCUGUUCACGGUACAGAGCCUCAGUACCCGGACCUCGUUCUGCUGCCCGAUGCGGUGAGCUCGGUCUUGGGCCUGCAGAUCCUGUUUGGGGGGUCAAUAUGCUAUGAGGACUGAGAUGCCUGGCAUAGGCAUCCAAAACCGGACCCCACCCCAGAGGGAAAUAUGGAAGGGUUCUGUAUUUCACCUUCACUAAGUUGCUCUCCAGAGGGAGGCCUGGGCACCUGAGUGGGACAUGCAGACCUGAUGAGGAUUCCAGUCGCUGUCAAAGAUGACCACUGUAUCAGCUGCCUGAAGAUUUAAGCCCAGGCCACCAGCUCUUGUGCUCAGCAAGAAAAUGAAAUACUGGGAUCCAGGUUCAUUGAAUUUCUUCAGCAAAGCAGCACGAUCUUCAGACUUGGUGGUGCCUGAGGGGAUCAGAAAAAUUAAUUUGCCAAUUAACUCUUGUCUGAAAAUGGCACAGAAUGAGACAAAAAGGCUUGCUUCCUUCAAGAAAUAUACCCAGACUCCUCCUAACACUGAAUUGGCUUUCUGAGAUCAUGGUGAACUAUCUGUUCACGACGCUAAUGGAAGAUAUUUCUGCUGUGAAACCUUCUCUAUCAUCUUUCCAGCUACAAGAAUUUUUUUAAAAAUUACAUGUAUUAAUGGUUCACAUAUUUCUCCUCUGCCUUAAACUGAAUGAAAAGCCACAGAAACCAAAAAUUUCUUCUAAAAUGGGGAAAGAAGAGAUCAUGGCAUCUGUGUUUCUGAAAACUGGGUACAAAACUAUACAUCUAUACUCUCAGGAUAGAAGUUCAACAGUUUUGAUUAACUGAAAAUGAACCAGCUGAUAAUCACACGGAUUAAUGAAACCGAACAGUUAAUCUCAUCAGGUCUGCCUGCCCUGCAUGCUUCUGGUUUCUUGCUUUUUGUUAUUUUUGUUUUCUCUUUUUCCAUGAAGCUGAAGGCUGCAGUAGCUGAAGGUCUUGCUGCUGAAUGCUCAAACUUGACCUUCACUGGCUACUUUACAGAUAACAUGCAUACGUCACCAUGGUAAUGGUUACUUCAGUUGUUUUUCAGGAACUUUGGCCAGCUCUGUCCAGUUCAAACCCGUUGACACCACUGGCCCUUAAACUGGGCCUGAGCGCAAGUGCCCAAGAGAUGGCCUUUUGAUGUUGGAGAGCCAAAAACUCCACCAUCAGAUCAUGCUGACUCUGCCAUUUUUUGUAUGUAUGUCCUAGGAAAUGCCAUGAACCCUGGCUAUGCCUGUGUAGAACGAACCUGUGAUUUCAUUUUUCCCCACUGCCAAUCACCUUUCCCUGUGCCUUACACCACCCCACUUCCUUACCCCAUAAAUAUCCCUAAACCUUAUCUUCAGGGAGGUAGAGUUGAGGGCUGUUCUUCCAUCUUUAUGCUUGGUGCCCUUGUGAAUAAAUCUUUUCUCUUUUGCAAAAC